Non-coding RNA from Megalopta genalis, 468 nucleotides. The record is from RefSeq and is a predicted model, not a curated record. NCBI's taxonomy places the organism in Eukaryota, Metazoa, Arthropoda, Insecta, Hymenoptera, Halictidae.
UAAAGUUGCAAUAUUUGGAGAAGAUAAGAUGGUGUUUCAGAAGAUUCAUGAAAGGAACUUUAUUCUUUUUGUACAUGAGAUACAUAGCAUGCCGCUAGAUGGCCCCUUUCAAUCGAACUUUCAUUGGGUGUUCGACCGCAUAUGGCAGAUAUUUUAGGGAAGUGUGUUGAAAUAAGCCAAAAUAAAAUAAAAACCAAAGCGGACAAGAUCACAGUUGAGACUUCAUUUCUAUAUUAUAUUGACGAUUAAAAGUUUCAUUGAACUAUGGUAUGUAAUCAGCUAAUAGAGAGUGGCAUCGGAUCAGUAGGAGAGCGGACGGUGACAUUCCAUGAAACAGGCAGAAACUUGACUCGUGUGUCGCUAUUGGCAGACAUUAAUCGAGUAUACUUAUAUUCUACAUACACGAUGGAAUGUAUGGUACAUACAUAUUAACGGCUAAUAAAUAAAAACGAAUAUUUUCAACCUUAA